This 404-nucleotide ribosomal RNA is filed under the name uncultured bacterium. Its description in RNAcentral is "partial 16S ribosomal RNA". It matches the Rfam family "Bacterial small subunit ribosomal RNA", at positions 30 to 526 of the family's 1533-position model. The record is from RNAcentral.
AUUGAACGCUGGCGGCAGGCCUAACACAUGCAAGUCGAGCGAGCGGCGGACGGGUGAGUAACACGUGGGUAACUACCCAUCAGAGGGGGAUAACACUUGGAAACAGGUGCUAAUACCGCAUACUGAUGGAUGACCCGCGGUGCAUUAGCUAGUUGGUGAGGUAACGGCUCACCAAGGCAACGAUCCGUAGCUGGUUUGAGAGGACGACCAGCCACACUGGGACUGAGACACGGCCCAGACUCCUACGGAGGCAGCAGUGGGGAAUAUUGCACAAUGGGCGCAAGCCUGAUGCAGCCAUGCCGCGUGUAUGAAGAAGGCCCUAGGGUUGUAAAGUACUUUCAGUCGGGAGGCGUUACCGACAGAAGAAGCACCGGCUAACUCCGUGCCAGCCGCCGCGGUAAUAC